UGAGUACGAGAUGCUACGGCAUCGAAGCAGUCUAUGUCAUACUUCCAAGAAAAGCUUGCACUGUCAGAAACAGAUAAUGCCUGUACCAUAACCGACACAGGUGGGUAGGUAGAGUAUACUAAGGGGCGCGAGAUAACUCUCUCUAAGGAACUCGGCAAAAUGACUCCGUAACUUCGGGAGAAGGAGUGCCUUAUUUUUAAGGUUGCAAUAACAAGAUCCAAGCAACUGUUUACCAAAAACACAGGUCUCCGCUAAGUCGUAAGACGAUGUAUGGGGGCUGACGCCUGCCCAGUGCCAGAAGGUUAAAGAAGUCGGUUAGCAUUCGCGAAGCUGGUAACUGAAGCCCUGGUGAACGGCGGCCGUAACUAUAACGGUCCUAAGGUAGCGAAAUUCCUUGUCGGGUAAGUUCCGACCCGCACGAAAGGCGUAAUGAUUUGGAUACUGUCUCGGAGAGGGGCUCGGUGAAAUAGACUUGUCUGUGAAGAUGCGGACUACCUGCACCUGGACAGAAAGACCCUAUGAAGCUUUACUGUAACUUGAAAUUGAAAUUGGACUUUAUUUGCGCAGUAUAGGUGGGAGGCGUUGAAAAUAUUCUUGCGGGAAUAUUGGAGCCAUCAGUGAGAUACCACUCUUGUAAUGUUAGAUUUCUAACUUUAUAUCAUUAUCUGGUUAAAGAACAGUUUCAGGCGGGCAGUUUGACUGGGGCGGUCGCCUCCCAAAUGGUAACGGAGGCGCACAAAGGUUUCCUCUGAACGGGUAGAAAUCGUAUCUAGAGUGUAAAGGCAUAAGGAAGCUUGACUGUGAGACCUACAAGUCGAGCAGGGACGAAAGUCGGUCUUAGUGAUCUGACGGUGCUGAGUGGAAAGGCCGUCACUCAACGGAUAAAAGUUACUCUAGGAUAACAGGCUGAUCUCCCCCAAGAGUUCACAUCGACGGGGAGGUUUGGCACCUCGAUGUCGGCUCAUCGCAUCCUGGGGCGGUAGUACGUCCCAAGGGUUGGGCUGUUCGCCCAUGAAAGCGGUACGCGAGCUGGGUUCAGAACGUCGUGAGACAGUUCGGUCCAUAUCCGGUGUAGGCGUUAGAAUAUUGAGAGGAGCCUUCUUUAGUACGAGAGGACCGAGAAGGACAUACCUCUGGUGUACCAGUUAUCGUGCCAACGGUAAACGCUGGGUAGCUAUGUAUGGAGUGGAUAACCGCUGAAAGCAUCUAAGUGGGAAGCCCACCUCAAGAUAAGUAUUCUCAUC
This 1244-nucleotide ribosomal RNA is filed under the name metagenome. RNAcentral's name for it is "bacterial LSU rRNA". It matches the Rfam family "Bacterial large subunit ribosomal RNA", at positions 1564 to 2818 of the family's 2925-position model. The record is from RNAcentral.